RNAcentral lists this microRNA precursor (78 nucleotides) under Triticum aestivum (bread wheat). Its description in RNAcentral is "miR9670 stem-loop (tae-MIR9670)". Lineage: Eukaryota; Viridiplantae; Streptophyta; Magnoliopsida; Poales; Poaceae. The record is from miRBase by way of RNAcentral.
CCUGAACGUCUUCUUCAAGUACUCCACUUUUUUUUCUCGCGGAGAAAAAGGUGGAAUACUUGAAGAAGAUUUUCAGGU